This is a non-coding RNA of Callithrix jacchus (white-tufted-ear marmoset), 1133 nucleotides long. NCBI's taxonomy places the organism in Eukaryota, Metazoa, Chordata, Mammalia, Primates, Cebidae. The record is from RefSeq and is a predicted model, not a curated record.
UAUGGAAAGGACAUGAGCCUACAUGAAAUGAAAUGUAGUUAUGAAGAUUAUGAAUACUCCUGGCAGCUUUUGGUGGUCUUGUUCCUGGUAGGAUAUAGGUCUCAGCUAUCAAACAGGCAGCUGUAUGGUGGUUUUGAUCAACUGUACCGUGGGGUGUUACCACACUGUAAGUUUAUUCUCAAGUCUGCCGCAAUGCUAACAACCCAGCCCAUAGAAUCAGGACUGUGCUGUAGCUGAGCGUGCUUCUCUCACUUCUAGGAUGAUGUAGUUAUUAUUCUCAGGAAUUACUACAGUACCUUCUGGCCUUUUCUGUUUUUCUUCUUUUUUUUUUGAGACGGAGUCUCACUCUGUCACCAGGUUGGAGUGCAAUUGCGUAACCCUGGCUCACUGCAAUCUCUGCCUCCUGGGUUCAAGCGAUUCUCCUGCCUCAGCCACCCAAGUAGCUGGGACUACAGGUGGGUACCACCAUGCCUGGCUACUUUUUUUGUAUUUUUAGUAAAGACGGGGUUUCACCAUGUUGGCCAGGAUGAUCUCCAUCUCCUGACCUCGGCCUCCCAAAGUGCUGACAUUACAGGUCUCUGAGUGGACGUCCAAGUUGUUAAUUCCCAGGGCCAAAACAGCGGCAUUAAGACUGAUGGUGCUUUUCUGCCCGGGAAUCUCCAGUCUGGCUUCCUUCUUGAGUCCGUAAUAGGCAACUCUGCCUUCCUGGAGCUCCAAACCUCAGUCAGAAGGGGAACCAGUCCUGUUUACUCUGCACCAAGAGCUGCCAUGGUGAGGUGCCGGCAAAACUGCUGCGCCAGCCACAAGAGUCACGCUGGCGACCUGUGUGGCUCCUCCAAACCUCGGUCAGAAGGGGAACCAGUCCCGUUUACUCUGCACCAAGAGCAGCCGCGCUGAGGUGCCGACGAAACCGCCGCGCCAGCCACAAGAGUCGCGCUGGUGACCCGUGGAGCUCCUCCACUGGGAAUCUUCUGCUCCGUGAGCAACCAAAAUUUGUCUGACAGUGUGGCGUCCUCUCGUUGUCUGAGCUUUCGCUGGGAGCUGCAGUUCUAAGAUGUUAGCGAUCGGCCAUCUUGGAUCGUUCCCCUUGCGGCAAAUUUUUAAUGUAACAAUAAAAAUUAUAGCAAAUAUUA